Molecule: ribosomal RNA, 253 nt
Filed under: uncultured bacterium
Lineage: Bacteria
Description: partial 16S ribosomal RNA
Rfam family: Bacterial small subunit ribosomal RNA
Source: RNAcentral
UACAGAGGGGGCAAGCGUUGUUCGGAAUUACUGGGCGUAAAGGGCGCGUAGGCGGCCUUCUAAGUCAGACGUGAAAUCCCUCGGCUCAACCGGGGAACUGCGUCUGAGACUGGAAGGCUUGAAUUCGGGAGAGGGAUGUGGAAUUCCAGGUGUAGCGGUGAAAUGCGUAGAUAUCUGGAGGAACACCGGUGGCGAAGGCGGCAUCCUGGACCGAGAUUGACGCUGAUGCGCGAAAGCUAGGGUAGCAAACGGG